AAAAUCUUAGGUUAUUUUUAAACCUUUAUCGUUCAAAGAUAAUAAUAUCUAUGGGUAGAUUUUG
RNAcentral lists this transfer RNA (64 nucleotides) under Ciconiphilus decimfasciatus. Its description in RNAcentral is "tRNA-Trp". Lineage: Eukaryota; Metazoa; Arthropoda; Insecta; Psocodea; Menoponidae. The record is from RNAcentral.